This 147-nucleotide small RNA is filed under the name Macaca mulatta (Rhesus monkey). RNAcentral's name for it is "Metazoan signal recognition particle RNA (ENSMMUG00000059799.1)". Lineage: Eukaryota; Metazoa; Chordata; Mammalia; Primates; Cercopithecidae. The record is from Rfam by way of RNAcentral.
GCUGGGCGUGGUGGCGGGCGCCUGUAGUCCCAGCUACUCGGAGGCUGAGGCGGGAGAAUGGCGUGAACCCGGGAGGUGGAGCUUGCAGUGAGCCGAGAUCGCGCCACUGCACUCCAGCCUGGGUGACAGAGCAAGACUCCGUCUCAA